CGCGGGGUGGAGCAGCGGUAGCUCGUUGGGCUCAUAACCCAAAGGCCGAAGGUUCGAAUCCUUCCCCCGCAA
This 72-nucleotide transfer RNA is filed under the name Chloroflexota bacterium. RNAcentral's name for it is "Chloroflexi bacterium tRNA-Met". It matches the Rfam family "tRNA". From Rfam's summary of the family: Transfer RNA (tRNA) molecules are approximately 80 nucleotides in length. Their secondary structure includes four short double-helical elements and three loops (D, anti-codon, and T loops). RNAcentral also lists the same sequence under 2 other names. The record is from RNAcentral. Lineage: Bacteria; Bacillati; Chloroflexota.